CUGUAAAAAAUUAUAGCAUUGGCCAGGGUGUAGAAAGUUUUUUGUGUAGCAGUAAAAUCUGGAGAGGUUCCUGUAAAGAAAUAAGACAGGAGCUGAGACCUGAGCAGGUAAGAGGCUGCCUGGGCCUUAGAGAGGAUGGGUCUUAGCGAGGAGGAGUACGGAGGAAGCAAGACAGAGGUCAGUAAACUGCCCCCUGUCCGGAGACCGGAUGCCAAGAAGCACAGGAUUUAUAUAAGAGGAGAAUAAAGUGGGAAGAAGGAAAGAGAAAACCUGCAGACACAUGCGUGACCUGCUCUCCCAUCCUCGGGUAACAGUCUGAAGCACCUUGAUGUAUGCACUGAGGCAUCAUUCCGGUCCUGAGGGACAAACAGGAGAGGUGCAGCACCCAGGCACUGAGGGGGGGGGCACUCUCCCUCACCAACAGCCAACCGAUGACUCAAUGGAAUUUCCAGUUUGCAUGCGUGCCACAAAUCAUACCAAUUAAACAAGAGGAACUUUUUCAUUAACGGGGAAAUCCAGAUGAAACAGUUCCUCACUGCUUCCUGGUUGUGUUUGCUCUGAGACAGUCCCGGCAGAUGCUGGGUCACAUGCAUGAGCCGAAGCAUGUGUGAGGGCCACAGGAGUGUCCCUGUCAGGGCGGCCCAAGCCCUGUCGUGUGGUCACCUGGAUUGCAAACUGCCUCAUAUGUGUUCGGGGGACUUCAGCUUUCUACUGUGUCACUCUGCACCGGCAGGUAAGCGAUGCAUGACAGUUGUCACUGUGCCUCAGCUGUAAAAGCCUCAGAGGUGUGAAAUCCAUUGGAGCUGCUCCCCAGAGACACUUGCCUGCCAGCAGGGCUCUUCGAGAGCCCUGUGAAUCAGGUGAUUUCUCAGCUGCCCGUAGCCACGGGGAUCCCGGGUGGGGACCAGAGGAGCUUGGCAAUGCUUGGCAGCCAGUGGGGCCCCAAGAAAGACAGUUCUGACUGCAGCCCUGCACUGUAUCCACAGCCCAUGAGCAUCUAGCUGCAGGGGAUCCCGCUGUCCACUCCGAUGCAGAGACGCAGUCUGUGAACUGGACUUCGUGACAGAUUUGAUAAAUUCCACCAAGACAGUAGUCAGUGUGACCUGAGGCUCACUCACUUCGUCACAAGUAAUUGUAACAUUUAAUUGUUCAUGAAAGAAAAGUUAUGGUUCUUUAAACAGAAUUUCACUGGUAAAGUUUUGAAAGUGCGAGAUAGAUUUUCAGAAAUGUUUUAUCCAUUUAUUGAUUCUGACAAAAUAGAUCAUCAAGAGCUUUCUGAGAGCUGGGGUUCAUAGCUCAGUGACAGAGCUCUCACCUAAUAUGUUCAUUUUAAUCCCAAGCUCUAUUUUUAAAAAAAUUAAUAUUAAAAUUAAAAACAUUUGACUUGCUCCAUUUCCAAUCUGGGCCAGUUCAUCCCUCUUUCGGCAAUGUGGUGGUUUCCUGCUUGUGGGAGGUCACCAUAUAGAUGUCAAACUGACUGCGGCCACCUGGUCCACAAUGUGUUCUGCAGCCCUGAACUCCUGACCUCAAGUCGGGAUCCUCCCACCUUAUCUCCCAGAUGCCACCAUGCCUAGAAAAAGGAAUUUAAAUGUUUUAUAAGACUGUCUUUAAUUGUCUUGAUCAGAAUUUUCUAUUGAUAUAUAACCUGAUGUGAAAAAGUCAUGUGCAUAGGAAAAAAAACAGAUUCAAGGCUUUCAUUACACAUUUUGAAACAUUUGACUUUGAAACUUUGUAUAUUUAUUAUUCAGUUUAUUCCCAAAUAAUGGUUAUUUUUAUUCAGAUGAAAUAUGAUCAAAUGUGUUAAUCGGGCCAGACACAGAACCCCUUUGCAUACUCAGCCUUGUGGCUCUGAUGGUCUCUCUGAUACCCAUGCAAUCUUAGGAAGGCCAGUGGUCCCUGCCCAGUGACCAGUGCCUCCAGCCUCAGAAGGACAGAUCUACAGCUGUGACUCCUCCCAGAACAAAGAGGCACACUCAUUGCCUCCAUUUAAUUUUCAGAGAUGGGCAGCAAGGUUUUUGAUGCCUUCAUUUGUUAAAAGAAAUCAGGAAAUAGUUAAUCUCGCUAAGUAGUGAGCAAGCUUAAUUUAAAGACAGAAAGAAAGAGUACUUUUAUGAGACAAGAAUGAUUUUGGCCACUUUCAUGAUUCAACAAAGAGGCUGAAUGUGUCCAGGGCCAGUCUAGUACCUAGCAUAUCUUAACAGACAGAGCAAAGGUCCUGCCCUAAGUGGCUCAUAUACGUGUAUAAUGUAUUGUCCGUUGGCUAUGAGUGCAGUAACCCAAAAGUGGGUAAAAAGAUGGAGCAAGCCUGGCUGCUAUGUCAGGACAUCAGAGGUCUGGCCAAGUUAAGAGUUCUGAGCAAAAGUCUAAGUGUAAAGGAGAAAAUCCUGAGUGCAGGAGGAGUGAUAUUUGGACCCGGAGGACUCCACAGCACAUGACCCAGACUUGUUUUCACCUGCUUCCCCUGCAUUCUGGGUGAAGUGGGGGAAUGACUUUCAGUAGUAUCACGAAAACUUCCAAUGAGACUGUUGUCAUAUUUGGUGAUGUGGAAAUCAGUAAUGACCUAAGAAAGUGAGAAGACCUGAAUAGACCGUGACAGAGAAAAAGAGAAGCAACUGGGUUAGAUGGAGAGACGACACUUUUAAUAUGUUUUGUUGAUCAUGACAGAGAGAUGGAGGUAGGGAAAUACAGUGGGAGCAGUGGAGGCAAAGACCUUUGCUUUUCAGUGUGGGAGAAUUUGUAUUUUGCAGCAAUCACUGAAGAAGCAUGGGACAGGGUUAUGUUUGUGUACCUUUGUAAGCGGUACAUGUGUGGCAUGGAAGAAUUCAACUAAUUUAGAUACAAAUUAUUUGUAUAAUUUUGAAAAUAACAUUAAUAUUCUCCCCUCUUACCUAGCAUCUAUCCCAUAAGGAAAACAUCUUAACAAAGUUAAAAUACAGCUUCUGCAUGUCAUCAAGAUGUCUUGAUGGUUGUCAAGUUCUUCUGGGUCAAUCUUACAACUUUUGAACCCUAGUUUAAAAAAAGUUUACCAGCCAUACAGGUUGGCAAUAAUGAAUGUUUACCUGGAAUAUUUACGAGCAAAAAUGGUAAGGCUUUUGAUAAACUUAAAAUUUGAUAAGAAAAAUGAGUUUAAAUCACACUUAUUUAUAUUAAUAUGUAAUCACAUAAAUCAUAUUAUACAAAUAUAUCUUCACCUAAUUUACAUGUUUCAAGAAAAAUAAGAGUUUAUAAAUACUGAAUUAACAUGUAUAAUAAACCAAAAUUGCCAGAA
This is a long non-coding RNA of Cavia porcellus (domestic guinea pig), 3268 nucleotides long. RefSeq lists it as uncharacterized. The record is from RefSeq and is a predicted model, not a curated record. The transcript is spliced from 3 exons. Lineage: Eukaryota; Metazoa; Chordata; Mammalia; Rodentia; Caviidae.